CCUACGGGUGGCUGCAGUGGGGAAUAUUGGGCAAUGGGCGCAAGCCUGACCCAGCAACGCCGCGUGAAGGAAGAAGGCUUUCGGGUUGUAAACUUCUUUUGUCAGGGACGAAGCAAGUGACGGUACCUGACGAAUAAGCCACGGCUAACUACGUGCCAGCAGCCGCGGUAAUACGGAGGAUGCGAGCGUUAUCCGGAUUUAUUGGGUUUAAAGGGUGCGCAGGCGGGCUGUUAAGCCGGCGGUAAAAAUUCAGGGCUCAACCCUGUCGAGCCGUCGGAACUGGCAGUCUUGAGUGGGCGAGAAGUAUGCGGAAUGCGUGGUGUAGCGGUGAAAUGCAUAGAUAUCACGCAGAACGCCGAUUGCGAAGGCAGCAUACCGGCGCCCAACUGACGCUGAGGCACGAAAGCGUGGGGAUCGAACAGGAUUAGAUACCCGAGUAGUC
This 442-nucleotide ribosomal RNA is filed under the name uncultured bacterium. Its description in RNAcentral is "partial 16S ribosomal RNA". It matches the Rfam family "Bacterial small subunit ribosomal RNA", at positions 338 to 795 of the family's 1533-position model. The record is from RNAcentral.